GAAUUGAAGAGUUUGAUCAUGGCUCAGAUUGAACGCUGGCGGCAGGCCUAACACAUGCAAGUCGAGCGGUAGCACAAGAGACAUGCUCUCCGGGUGACGAGCGGCGGACGGGUGAGUAAUAUCCGGGAAACUGCCUGAUGGCGGGGGAUAACUAGUGGAAACGAUAGCUAAUACCGCAUAACGUCGCAAGACCAAAGUGGGGGACCUUCGGGCCCCACACCAUCAGAUGUGCCCAGGUGGGAUUAGCUCGUAGGUGGGGUAACGGCCCACCUAGGCGACGAUCCCUAGCUGGUCUGAGAGGAUGGCCAGCCACACUGGAACUGAGACACGGUCCAGACUCCUACGGGAGGCAGCAGUGGGGAAUAUUGCACAAUGGGCGCAAGCCUGAUGCAGCCAUGCCGCGUGUGCGAAGAAGGCCUUCGGGUUGUAAAGCACUUUCAGCGAAGAGGAAGGGUAAUGUGCUAAUAAGACAUUGCAUUGACGUUACUCGCAGAAGAAGCACCGGCUAACUCCGUGCCAGCAGCCGCGGUAAUACGGAGGGUGCAAGCGUUAAUCGGAAUUACUGGGCGUAAAGCGCACGCAGGCGGUUUGUUAAGUCAGAUGUGAAAUCCCCACGCUCAACGUGGGAACGGCAUUUGAGACUGGCAAGCUAGAGUCUUGUAGAGGAGGGUAGAAUUCCAGGUGUAGCGGUGAAAUGCGUAGAGAUCUGGAGGAAUACCGGCGGCGAAGGCGGCCCCCUGGACAAAGACUGACGCUCAGGUGCGAAAGCGUGGGGAGCAAACAAGAUUAGAUACCCUGGUAGUCCACGCUGUAAACGAUGUCGAUCUGGAGGCUGUGCCCUUGAGGGGUGGCUUCCGUAGCUAACGCGUUAAAUCGACCGCCUGGGGAGUACGGCCGCAAGGUUAAAACUCAAAUGAAUUGACGGGGGCCCGCACAAGCGGUGGAGCAUGUGGUUUAAUUCGAUGCAACGCGAAGAACCUUACCUACUCUUGACAUCCAGAGAACCUUCCAGAGAUGGAGGGGUGCCCUCGGGAGCUCUGAGACAGGUGCUGCAUGGCUGUCGUCAGCUCGUGUUGUGAAAUGUUGGGUUAAGUCCCGCAACGAGCGCAACCCUUAUCCUUUGUUACCAGCGAUAAAGUCGGGAACUCAAAGGAGACUGCCGGUGAUAAACCGGAGGAAGGCGGGGAUGACGUCAAGUCAUCAUGGCCCUUACGAGUAGGGCUACACACGUGCUACAAUGGCGUAUACAAAGAGAAGCGACCUCGCGAGAGCAAGCGGACCCCACAAAAUACGUCGUAGUCCGGAUUGGAGUCUGCAACCCGACUCCAUGAAGUCGGAAUCGCUAGUAAUCGUAGAUCAGAAUGCUGCGGUGAAUACGUUCCCGGGCCUUGUACACACCGCCCGUCACACCAUGGUAGUGGGCUGCAAAAGAAGUAGGUAGCCUAACCUUCGGGAGGGCGCCUACCACUUUGUGAUUCAUGACUGGGGUGAAGUCGUAACAAGGUAACCGUAGGGGAACCUGCGGUUGGAUCACCUCCUUA
Molecule: ribosomal RNA, 1541 nt
Filed under: Serratia symbiotica
Lineage: Bacteria; Pseudomonadati; Pseudomonadota; Gammaproteobacteria; Enterobacterales; Yersiniaceae
Description: 16S ribosomal RNA
Rfam family: Bacterial small subunit ribosomal RNA
Source: RNAcentral